This 343-nucleotide long non-coding RNA is filed under the name Brassica napus (rape). RNAcentral describes it as "long non-coding RNA (BNAP_LNC018471)". The record is from RNAcentral. Lineage: Eukaryota; Viridiplantae; Streptophyta; Magnoliopsida; Brassicales; Brassicaceae.
UUGACACUUCCGGUAAGGUUAGAGACUCUCCCGUGCUAGGAUUACAAAUCACCGCCGAUCUUGGCCUCUGCUCUUGACGACAGAUCAAUCCAUUUAAAUGGUGAUAUUCUAUUGAUGCUGUGGAACAAUCUUUGGGCUAAUAAGUUUGAUGAUCGACAGAAUCAAGACGUGAUGUUGUUGUGAUUUUGCUUGGACACUCUCACACUUUUUGUUUCUCACUCACGUUUCAUACUUGUGUUACAACUGAGCACAAGCACUCACUUCUCUCUUUACUCUCUCACUGUCUUGUUCUUGUUCAUGUAGAGAGAGAAGAGAGGAUACUCUACAUUUCUACUCUUUCAAC